Molecule: unclassified non-coding RNA, 1121 nt
Filed under: Hevea brasiliensis (rubber tree)
Lineage: Eukaryota; Viridiplantae; Streptophyta; Magnoliopsida; Malpighiales; Euphorbiaceae
Source: RNAcentral
ACUGCCCUCCUAGGGGGCACUCGGCAACUCACUCGUGGGGCAUGAUAUUCCAUAAUUUCUCAAGUACUUGCUGCACUUCCUGAGAAAGAAGUCGUCUUGGUAUUGGAUCCGCUCUUCUGUUAGCAUGAACAUGAAUUAGAUUCUAUUCAUCUUCUUUAUUCUUAAGAGAACCCCCCACCCGAACCAUUCUUAAGACCACCAAGCCCUCUCGAAUGAGUUCUACUAUAGAAGCUUUCAACGUACACCCGGGGACAAAUCUUUCACUCACUGAGAAGUGAAAACCUGUGACUAGAUCGUCCUGAAGACGGAUGCGACGGGAAGAAAUGGCAUUUGAAAGUGUUGCUAACUUAACAUUUAGGUUUCGGCAUAACAAAGCUUGCACUGUCUUUUCGCACUUAGGCGCACAGCGUGCCAUUGGUAAUGAUUCUACUACGGUGCCACAAAUUCGCAAGCUGAUCCUAAGUAAUCGUUGUUGUUCAUUGGAUUCCAAAAGAACUACUUCGUUAGGAUUGAGGAAUUGCUGCAAUUCUUCCUGAAUAGCCUGGAUUCUCCCGUCGAGAGUCACUUUGAAAGUCUUACCUAAACUCUUCCGACUGAAUAUGAUAAAGCCUAUAAAACAACAAGCUACUAUCAUUUCUUCAUUAUAGAUUAAGAUCUUCUUCGAACUUAAUGCACAAAUAAAUAGAAUAGCAGCAAAUAACAUCUUUCUAGCCUGCAUAUUCGUGGAACUCAAUCUCAUUUAGAAAGCUUAUCUCUAUCUUUCAGCAACUGAACGGGAAGUGGUUUAGGAAAGGACUUUAGAAUCGGAUGCGCUCGCCCAGCGAGAAAGGCUCUGACCCUGCCAACCAAGUCAAAAUAAAAAAGAAAGAAGAGAACGAAAGGAGAAGAGAACUUCGUAUUUUUUUUGGUAAUUCUCUAGGAGUCAUGUUUAACCUUGAAUGCUAUUAAUAAAUUCUACAGCAAUAGUCCCUCGGACUCGGAAAGUAAUAACGAAAAUGGCUAACCCAAUAGCAGAUUCCGCAGCUGCCACCGUUAGAACCAAUAAAGCAAAUAAUUGACCCAUCAUAUCAUCCAAAGAAACGGAAAAUACCAAAAAGUUCAAAUUCACAGCUAAUAACAUU